Molecule: ribosomal RNA, 253 nt
Filed under: uncultured bacterium
Lineage: Bacteria
Description: partial 16S ribosomal RNA
Rfam family: Bacterial small subunit ribosomal RNA
Source: RNAcentral
UACGUAGGGUCCGAGCGUUGUCCGGAAUUACUGGGCGUAAAGAGCUCGUAGGUGGUUUGUCGCGUUGUUCGUGAAAACUCACAGCUCAACUGUGGGCGUGCGGGCGAUACGGGCAGACUUGAGUACUGCAGGGGAGACUGGAAUUCCUGGUGUAGCGGUGGAAUGCGCAGAUAUCAGGAGGAACACCGGUGGCGAAGGCGGGUCCCUGGACAACACCUGACACUGAGGCACGAAAGCUAGGGGAGCAAACAGG